This 460-nucleotide ribosomal RNA is filed under the name uncultured bacterium. Its description in RNAcentral is "partial 16S ribosomal RNA". It matches the Rfam family "Bacterial small subunit ribosomal RNA", at positions 338 to 795 of the family's 1533-position model. The record is from RNAcentral.
CCUACGGGAGGCAGCAGUGAGGAAUAUUGGUCAAUGGACGAGAGUCUGAACCAGCCAAGUAGCGUGAAGGAUGACUGCCCUAUGGGUUGUAAACUUCUUUUAUAUGGGAAUAAAACGUUCCACGUGUGGGAUUUUGUAUGUACCAUAUGAAUAAGGAUCGGCUAACUCCGUGCCAGCAGCCGCGGUAAUACGGAGGAUCCGAGCGUUAGCCGGAUUUAUUGGGUUUAAAGGGCGCGUAGGUGGAUUGUUAAGGCAGUUGUGAAAGUUUGCGGCUCAACCGUAAAAUUGCAGUUGAAACUGACAGUCUUGAGUACAGUAGAGGUGGGCGGAAUUCGUGGUGUAGCGGUGAAAUGCUUAGAUAUCACGAAGAACUCCGAUUGCGAAGGCAGUUCACUGGACUGCAACUGACACUGAGGCUCGAAAGUGUGGGUAUCAAACAGGAUUAGAUACCCCUGUAGUC